CGUAUCGUGAGGUAUGGAAGAGAGGAAGCAAUAGCGAAAUCAUGGCUUAACGGACAGGAAGUCUGAACAUUAAGUUUGGAUGGCUGAUAAUAAGGCGACAUUAGUGGAUGAGAUGGCAACAAGCAUCAAAGUCCAAAAGAUAACCGUAACCUAAUGGCGUAAAUCAGAUAAGUAACGAGGAAAGGAAACUAA
Molecule: non-coding RNA, 192 nt
Organism: Eubacterium sp. 3_1_31
Lineage: Bacteria; Bacillati; Bacillota; Clostridia; Eubacteriales; Eubacteriaceae
Source: Rfam